RNAcentral lists this ribosomal RNA (314 nucleotides) under uncultured eukaryote. RNAcentral's name for it is "partial 18S ribosomal RNA". It matches the Rfam family "Eukaryotic small subunit ribosomal RNA", at positions 1470 to 1796 of the family's 1831-position model. The record is from RNAcentral.
CCCUUAGAUGUUCUGGGCCGCACGCGCGCUACAAUGGCAGACUCAGCGAGUUACCUCUGUCGAAAGGCACAGGGAAUCUUUACAGUAUCUGUCGUGAUGGGGAUAGACCCUUGUAAUUUUUGGUCUUCAACGAGGAAUUCCUAGUAAACGCAAGUCAUUAACUUGCAUUGAUUACGUCCCUGCCCUUUGUACACACCGCCCGUCGCACCUACCGAUUGAAUGGUCCGGUGAAGUCCUCGGACCCAGUUGAACCUCGAGUUGAACAGGGAAAGUUGACUAAAUCUUACCAUUUAGAGGAAGGUGAAGUCGUAACA